AAAAAAGGUAAGCUACUAAGAGCGAAUGGUGGAUGCCUUGACUGGUAAAGGCGAUGAAGGACGUACUAGACUGCGAUAAGCUACGGGGAGCUGUCAAGAAGCUUUGAUCCGUAGAUUUCCGAAUGGGGCAACCCAAUGUAUAGAGAUAUACAUUACCUAUAUAGGAGCGAACGAGGGGAAUUGAAACAUCUUAGUACCCUCAGGAAAAGAAAUCAAUAGAGAUUGCGUCAGUAGCGGCGAGCGAAAGCGCAAGAGGGCAAACCCAGUGCUUGCACUGGGGGUUGUAGGACUGCAAUGUGCAAGAGCUGAGUUUAGCAGAACAUUCUGGAAAGUAUAGCCAUAGAGGGUGAUAGUCCCGUAUGCGAAAAACAAAGCUUAGCUAGCAGUAUCCUGAGUAGGGCGGGACACGAGGAAUCCUGUCUGAAUCCGGGUCGACCACGAUCCAACCCUAAAUACUAAUACCAGAUCGAUAGUGCACAAGUACCGUGAGGGAAAGGUGAAAAGAACUGAGGUGAUCAGAGUGAAAUAGAACCUGAAACCAUUUGCUUACAAUCAUUCAGAGCACUAUGUAGCAAUACAGUGUGAUGGACUGCCUUUUGCAUAAUGAGCCUGCGAGUUGUGGUGUCUGGCAAGGUUAAGCAAACGCGAAGCCGUAGCGAAAGCGAGUCUGAAUAGGGCGCUUAGUCAGAUGCUGCAGACCCGAAACGAAGUGAUCUAUCCAUGAGCAAGUUGAAGCUAGUGUAAGAACUAGUGGAGGACUGAACCCAUAGGCGUUGAAAAGCCCCGGGAUGACUUGUGGAUAGGGGUGAAAGGCCAAUCAAACUUCGUGAUAGCUGGUUCUCUCCGAAAUAUAUUUAGGUAUAGCGUUGUGUCGUAAUAUAAGGGGGUAGAGCACUGAAUGGGCUAGGGCAUACACCAAUGUACCAAACCCUAUCAAACUCCGAAUACCUUAUAUGUAAUCACAGCAGUCAGGCGGCGAGUGAUAAAAUCCGUCGUCAAGAGGGAAACAACCCAGAUUACCAGCUAAGGUCCCUAAAUCUUACUUAAGUGGAAAACGAUGUGAAGUUACUUAAACAACCAGGAGGUUGGCUUAGAAGCAGCCAUCCUUUAAAGAAAGCGUAAUAGCUCACUGGUCUAGUGAUUUUGCGCGGAAAAUAUAACGGGGCUAAAGUAAGUACCGAAGCUGUAGACUUGCACACAACUUAGAUUAUUUAAGUUUAGAAUAAGUAGUUUAAGUUGUGUGCAAGUGGUAGGAGAGCGUUCUAUUUGCGUCGAAGGUAUACCGGUAAGGAGUGCUGGAGCGAAUAGAAGUGAGCAUGCAGGCAUGAGUAGCGAUAAUUAAUGUGAGAAUCAUUAACGCCGUAAACCCAAGGUUUCCUACGCGAUGCUCGUCAUCGUAGGGUUAGUCGGGUCCUAAGUCGAGUCCGAAAGGGGUAGACGAUGGCAAAUUGGUUAAUAUUCCAAUACCAACAUUAGUGUGCGAUGGAAGGACGCUUAGGGCUAAGGGGGCUAGCGGAUGGAAGUGCUAGUCUAAGGUCGUAGGAGGUUAUACAGGCAAAUCCGUAUAACAAUACUCCGAGAACUGAAAGGCUUUUUGAAGUCUUCGGAUGGAUAGAAGAACCCCUGAUGCCGUCGAGCCAAGAAAAGUUUCUAAGUUUAGCUAAUGUUGCCCGUACCGUAAACCGACACAGGUGGGUGGGAUGAGUAUUCUAAGGCGCGUGGAAGAACUCUCUUUAAGGAACUCUGCAAAAUAGCACCGUAUCUUCGGUAUAAGGUGUGGUUAGCUUCGUACUAGGAUUUACUCCGAAAGCGAAGAAACUUACAACAAAGAGUCCCUCCCG
Molecule: ribosomal RNA, 1841 nt
Filed under: Campylobacter jejuni
Lineage: Bacteria; Pseudomonadati; Campylobacterota; Epsilonproteobacteria; Campylobacterales; Campylobacteraceae
Description: partial 23S ribosomal RNA
Rfam family: Bacterial large subunit ribosomal RNA
Source: RNAcentral